Molecule: unclassified non-coding RNA, 235 nt
Filed under: Hevea brasiliensis (rubber tree)
Lineage: Eukaryota; Viridiplantae; Streptophyta; Magnoliopsida; Malpighiales; Euphorbiaceae
Source: RNAcentral
CCUGAGAAUAAGAGUCACAUACAGAAUAAACUUGUGCCAGCACUACUUCUCUCUCGCCCUCAGUCUCAUUGUAAUCUGUUGAUAAAUGUAUAUCAUUUUGAAAGCUCAUUGGUUGUCUCAUGCAAUAUGGGUUUUUGUCCUCCUUUCCAUUGGCUCUUUCCUCUUCUUUGAAUAAAUUCUUAGAUUUAACCUUAGCAAUUUUGUCCAAAUCUGUCUCUGCCAAUGGUAUAUUACC